AUGAUAUAAUAAUAAUAUUAAUAAUAAUAUUAUAAUAAUAACAGUAAUAAUAUUUACAUUUUAAUGACCGUUUUCAAGUCGUUCCGACGUAUCGAUAAGACAAUGCAAAGAAGUGACAAUCCCAAAAGAUGGUUUUCGAACAAGCCGGAAACAAUUUUAUCGAUAAGAUAACAGCGCGGUAACUUUAGUUCUGCACUUUACCUCAAUUGAUUUAAAUAUCUUCCUUCGCAUUUUCGUCAAGCGCGAAGACGCAUUGGAGAUUAUAAUGUGUGUAUGUCGUGUUAUCGGAAACUAAGAGUUUUUUUAAUCCGGUUUUUUUUACAUCCUUCCUUUUAAUCUUCUUUCUGAUUGCAAAUGCGAUUGUAACAUUUAAACUUUUGUAACUCGUGCAAAAAAUUAAUAUAUUUCAAAUGACUCGCUUCCACUUUAUACAGUAGGUACAUUGAGUGAGCGAGAAGAAAAGGAUUAGAUCCACGCGAGCUGACAAUGAGUGCAGAUCAAAUCUGAUUCUCUAAUGAUCUAAAUUCUAAUCGAAUAUUCAGGUGAUUUUCUUGUCGAACGUGUUAUAUUCUUACGUUGCCGCUUUGGUUCUUCUCCGCGAACACACAACACACCGCGAAGUAGAAGCUUCAGCUCACUGUUUCCGAACUGAUCUUAAAUCGGUCUUUAAUGCGGAUUGCUCGACUUUUCGACACGCCACAAUGUUUUUCAUCCUUUCUCGAUAAGACGGUUUCCCUCGUGAGAUUGCACGCGUUACACGACAACGUGUCACUUAAUCAAAAUGUUAUACGUAUUAUUAUACAUACUAGUAAGCAAUUUGCCGGACGGGAGCGGACGCGCUUGUACCACACAUCGACUGAUUAGAAUUUCGUUCGACUGUCCAUGCGAGCGCAAGCGAGAACUCUUUCCCAGCUUUACGUUGCAUUUACCGGAUGCUGGAUGACGGUUUCCGUAUCUCGUGACUGUGCAUUGGGAGAGACAGUGGUGCGUUAAGUGCGCGAGAACAAAUGUUUAUACUAUAUAUAAUAAAUAUAUGCGCUACGAGAGAAGAGAUAGAGAGAGCGAGAGAGAGAGAGAGAGAGAGAAAAAAAAGAGGCGGUAAAGUAUUGGGACACACGUGCGAUAGUCGGGAAUAUUUAAUUACGUGACGUUAUUAUUAUACUAUUUUCAUAUGCCGGAUAAAUCAAAACGGAGAGAUCCGCUCGUCCAGUGGUGUUAUUCCGUGACUUUAUCAAUCGAAAUUACAUAAUCAACAUCAGCGGCGGCGGUACAUUGACGUACGUGUGUCGCAAUAUUACGUGUAUCGCUCUCGUGCGCGUUUCUCGGUAUACGGUAAAUGAUUAAACAAAUGGGAAUCACUAGUAGGUGGUGUGUGCGUGUGUAUGUGUGUGUGUAUAGAGGACCACGGGUUCCUUAAUUUUACAAUUCUUGAGAGAGAGAGAGAGAGAGAAACAGAAAAAGAGAGAAGACAUGAAUGCUCGUCAAAGAAUAAUUAGUAAUAACAAACGAUAAUUCACAUUGCGUAUCUCUCGUUGCGCGCCUAGUAGACUGCAAGUAGUAGUCAUUCGAAAGUCCGUACGUCGUGUUUUGGGGACACGAGCAGGAAGUGUAUAGUGUUUAAUUGCAAGAAGUCCAUGUAUCGACGGGAGCUUUUGCAUCGCUUUCCGGACAAUUACUUUUGUGAUUUAUUCGUAAUCGAAGGAGCAUUCAAGAAAAGCGGUGCGAAGGUCGGUCGCGUUGUACUCAGAUAUACUCCGCAUACCUUGUUAUUCAGCAGCAGUUGAACAGAUGAAUAUGAUUUAUUGCAGAGAGCCGUAAUACCACAAGUGAAACCGUUCUAAGUAUAUUUGUUAUACACACAUAUUGUUACCAUUGCCACAUGAAAGCAAUUAUUAACUCCAUAGCCUGGGCCAUUGUUAGACGAACGAGAACUCGGGACUGUUUCUUGAAGUAGGAUUGCAACCAGGAUUACUUUUUUAAUAUCACCGUAAAGUUCGCGUUUAAGACUAUUGCACUUUUUAUAAAAUGUAAUAACUAUUGUUUGGAGGAUAAUUAAAAGAGAUUCAAGGAUCUCUGAGACACUGGAAAUAAACAGUUCUUUCUCGCCAAUUUUAAUAAUCAGAAUUUUAACUUUAACGUUAUUCUUUCCACAUAACGUGCCAUGUUUUAAUUUUCUUGAUUAUCGAGAAUAAUUUCCGGGGUGAUUUUGGAAUAAUUUCACUUUUCCACAAUCCUGUUCCAUAUCUAUAUCUCUUCUAUUGUUCUUUUUUUUUGUAUGGCGCACGCAAUCCUACGUCGAGGAAGAAAAAAGUUAUAAGAAAGUGUGAGACAAGUUAUCGUAAUAGUCGCCGAUUACUCCGUAACAAUGGCAAUGCCCAUACGUAUGAAGUCUGUAAUCGAAAUGCUUUAUAUUUUUACACCGAACAAAGCAGUAUAUAACGUACAAUAAAACAAUAAAACAUGUCCUUCCAUACAUGCAACCUCAAGAUGACAAAUGUUAAAUUUUUAUUUUUACAACAGCCCACUAUCACUUCCGAUAUCUGAGCUAUAUUUGGGCGUAUAAUUAUAGUUGAGACUAUUAAUUAGGAUAUUAAAGUCGGCUAGAUUCAUUUUAAUCGACUCACAAUUUUACGAUUUCUACACGAAUGAUCGUCUACUGUAAUAUACGCAUUAUACGAUACGUAUACAACAUAUGUUAGUGAUAUUAUACCGUGCGACGACGCGUUUUAUGAUCGUUAAUAAUCCGCAAGAAAAAAAAGGAAGGUCUCGAAACUGUUAAUUUCUUCUCCGAAAUUGUGAAAACGAGCUGGCAUGUCCAAACAAAUAGUUAGCGUUCCAUUUCGUCCGUUGUCGCAGCGUCCGAUUGUACAUUGACGCCAAUUAAUUCCGGCUAUCCGCAUUUUAUGCCGUUUCGAAGCGAAGAAAUCAAAAGAAUGGGAGAAGAAGCAGAUAGUACCAAAAGCGAAUUGCAAACGCCGAUGCGUUUAACUUUACAACCGGCACACAUAUUGUACAUAUGUAUUUAUUAAAACUGAUAGAUAUACGAAUUCUCACACACUGCAGACAAACAAACACACGUAUACACUUACGCAAAGGUUUCCACCGUGCCGAAUACUGUGUGUAUUAAAUAUUUUUCUCUCCGACAUUAUCUUCUGGGCUAUUCGUAUGCGGGGAAAAAAAAAGAAGAACAUUGACGUGAUUCCGCGAGUACGCGACAGCCUUCGAUGUUAUUGUUCCGUGUAAUGGAUUUCGGAUAGAGUCGCGAAUCGUUUCUCCGAGUAAUCUCUGAAUAGAGAUCGCGAGUUCGACGUGAACAAACGGGAACCACGUGGACGGAACACGAUCGUGAUAGUCGCGCGACUUUAUACGCGCGCAUGUUCGAACAGAUCCUCGCGAAAUUCAAUCAAGCGUGCAAAAUCGAAAGUCGCCUGUCUAAUUUCUGUCGAUGAAACCAAUAAUCCCGGCAAAUCUGCCGAGAGACAAAAGUUAACCAGUAUCAGGUCGUUACGUGGCAAACAUUUGCGUAUAUACAUGUCGUUCCAUCAGCAACGUCAUCAUUGUUAUCAUCUGAUCGACCGACUUACAGUGUGCCGUCGAGGUUUCUCAUCGACGGCACACUGUACGGUUUUUUAUUAUAGUCGCCGUCAAAUUUAAUUUUAACAUUAUUAUUUUUCUGUACAGGUUGUGUCGGAAGUCCCGCGAUCUCUUUACGAAACUCCCCGAAUCUGAAUAUAAAGUUUUAUAAAAUUAUAUUGAAAAAUUUUAUUGACGUUAUGAAUUAAGAAGUUUUUCGGACCAAUAUAAGUAAAUUAUAACAUCUUAUGCUUCACGAUUAUAGUGAAUUGCGUUUUAUCGGUAUAAUCUCAGGCAAUCUGAAGCACGUCUACAGAUUGAGAACAUAAAAGGUUCCGGUCAAUUGAUAGAAAAUCUUGGAAGAGAAAUGCGCGCGACUUUUGAUACGGCCUUAGACAUAUGUGUUUAACAUUGUAAGGCAAACACACGAACAAAUCAAAUAAAAUCUACAUUUCGUUUUUUUUUUUCUUAGAGCGCCUCUAAUAAUAAAAAGACAGCCGUACUUACUUGUACGCGAAAGUAUACGUAUCCGAAAGAAGGGAACUUUGGUAUCCUCGAUUCGCCAAAUCGCGACGGAAUUUUCUUCAAGCGCGGAGCGGGACGUCGCCAAAUUGGGACAUUGCCUUUUGAUAAGAAUGGGAGGAUUCGAUAUCGAAUCUACGAAACGCGGAAGAACGUGAAGGGAAACAGGGCUAAUAUGUGACGCGUCGAGUCGAGCCUGAAAUUAAUAAUCAAAAUUGAACGACUGUUUGCGAAACACUUGUGAUUAACUAUUUUAUAAAACCGACCCACGGUACGUCCUUAGGUAUAUUAUGUAACAAAAUGUAGAAAAAAAAAGAGAAAUAAAUCGAGGAAAAUUCCCUUGUGAGAGAGCACGAAUAUAAAAUAAAAAACUUUUUGAAUAUUAUCAUCUGUUUUCAUCACACUCUCAUCUGAAUAAU
Long non-coding RNA from Wasmannia auropunctata (little fire ant), 4514 nucleotides. RefSeq lists it as uncharacterized. The record is from RefSeq and is a predicted model, not a curated record. The transcript has 2 exons. NCBI's taxonomy places the organism in Eukaryota, Metazoa, Arthropoda, Insecta, Hymenoptera, Formicidae.